GCCAAACAGCUAGCUUAACUACUUAAUAACUAAACAAUAUAAAUAAAACAAAAUAAGCCUAACACCAAAAACUAAACC
This 78-nucleotide ribosomal RNA is filed under the name Cyprinus carpio (common carp). RNAcentral's name for it is "partial 16S ribosomal RNA". Lineage: Eukaryota; Metazoa; Chordata; Actinopteri; Cypriniformes; Cyprinidae. The record is from RNAcentral.